RNAcentral lists this ribosomal RNA (497 nucleotides) under uncultured bacterium. RNAcentral's name for it is "partial 16S ribosomal RNA". It matches the Rfam family "Bacterial small subunit ribosomal RNA", at positions 28 to 507 of the family's 1533-position model. The record is from RNAcentral.
GAUGAACGCUGGCGGCGUGCCUAAUACAUGCCAGUCGAGCGAACGGACGAGAAGCUUGCUUCUCUGAUGUUAGCGGCGGACGGGUGAGUAACACGUGGAUAACCUACCUAUAAGACUGGGAUAACUUCGGGAAACCGGAGCUAAUACCGGAUGAUAUUUUGAACCGCAUGGUUCAAAAGUGAAAGACGGUCUUGCUGUCACUUAUAGAUGGAUCCGCGCUGCAUUAGCUAGUUGGUAAGGUAACGGCUUACCAAGGCAACGAUGCAUAGCCGACCUGAGAGGGUGAUCGGCCACACUGGAACUGGGACACGGUCCAGACUCCUACGGGAGGCAGCAGUAGGGAAUCUUCCGCAAUGGGCGAAAGCCUGACGGAGCAACGCCGCGUGAGUGAUGAAGGUCUUCGGAUCGUAAAACUCUGUUAUUAGGGAAGAACAUAUUUGUAAGUAACUGUGCACAUCUUGACGGUACCUAAUCAGAAAGCCACGGCUAACUACGUG